This 502-nucleotide ribosomal RNA is filed under the name uncultured bacterium. RNAcentral describes it as "bacterial SSU rRNA". It matches the Rfam family "Bacterial small subunit ribosomal RNA", at positions 17 to 518 of the family's 1533-position model. The record is from RNAcentral.
UCCUGGCUCAGGAUGAACGCUGGCGGCGUGCCUAACACAUGCAAGUCGAACGGAGCUAUAACGCUGCAGAGAUUCGGUCGAAGCUUGUGUAGCUUAGUGGCGGACGGGUGAGUAACGCGUGGAUAACCUGCCCCAUACAGGGGGGUAGCAGACGGAAACGACUGAUAAAACCGCAUAAGCGCACACUGUGGCAUCACAGAGUGUGAAAAUCUACGGAGGUAUGGGAUGGAUCCGCGUCCGAUUAGUUAGUUGCGGGGUAGCGGCCCACCAAGACGACGAUCGGUAGCCGGCCUGAGAGGGCGGACGGCCACAUUGGGACUGAGACACGGCCCAGACUCCUACGGGAGGCAGCAGUGGGGGAUAUUGCACAAUGGAGGGAACUCUGAUGCCAGCGACGCCGCGUGGGUGAAGAAGUAUUUCGGUAUGUAAAGCCCUAUCAGCAGGGAAGAAGCAAGACGGUACCUGAGUAAGAAGCCCCGGCUAACUACGUGCCAGCCGCAGC